UACGUAGGGGGCAAGCGUUGUCCGGAUUUAUUGGGCGUAAAGAGCGUGUAGGCGGUUUGGUAGGUCCGCUGUGAAAACUCGAGGCUCAACCUCGAGACGCCGGUGGAAACCAUCAGGCUAGAGUCCGGAAGAGGAGAGUGGAAUUCCUGGUGUAGCGGUGAAAUGCGCAGAUAUCGGGAAGAACACCCGUGGCUAAGGCGGCUCUCUAGUACGGUACUGACGCUGAGACGCGAAAGCGUGGGGAGCGAACAGG
This 253-nucleotide ribosomal RNA is filed under the name uncultured bacterium. RNAcentral's name for it is "partial 16S ribosomal RNA". It matches the Rfam family "Bacterial small subunit ribosomal RNA", at positions 524 to 776 of the family's 1533-position model. The record is from RNAcentral.